Molecule: unclassified non-coding RNA, 600 nt
Filed under: Aspergillus fumigatus
Lineage: Eukaryota; Fungi; Ascomycota; Eurotiomycetes; Eurotiales; Aspergillaceae
Description: sequence contains 18S rRNA gene, ITS1, 5.8S rRNA gene, ITS2, 28S rRNA gene
Rfam family: 5.8S ribosomal RNA (bases 227-380)
Source: RNAcentral
GUAACAAGGUUUCCGUAGGUGAACCUGCGGAAGGAUCAUUACCGAGUGAGGGCCCUCUGGGUCCAACCUCCCACCCGUGUCUAUCGUACCUUGUUGCUUCGGCGGGCCCGCCGUUUCGACGGCCGCCGGGGAGGCCCUGCGCCCCCGGGCCCGCGCCCGCCGAAGACCCCAACAUGAACGCUGUUCUGAAAGUAUGCAGUCUGAGUUGAUUAUCGUAAUCAGUUAAAACUUUCAACAACGGAUCUCUUGGUUCCGGCAUCGAUGAAGAACGCAGCGAAAUGCGAUAAGUAAUGUGAAUUGCAGAAUUCAGUGAAUCAUCGAGUCUUUGAACGCACAUUGCGCCCCCUGGUAUUCCGGGGGGCAUGCCUGUCCGAGCGUCAUUGCUGCCCUCAAGCACGGCUUGUGUGUUGGGCCCCCGUCCCCCUCUCCCGGGGGACGGGCCCGAAAGGCAGCGGCGGCACCGCGUCCGGUCCUCGAGCGUAUGGGGCUUUGUCACCUGCUCUGUAGGCCCGGCCGGCGCCAGCCGACACCCAACUUUAUUUUUCUAAGGUUGACCUCGGAUCAGGUAGGGAUACCCGCUGAACUUAAGCAUAUCAAUAA